This 395-nucleotide ribosomal RNA is filed under the name Neriene nigripectoris. RNAcentral's name for it is "partial 16S ribosomal RNA". Lineage: Eukaryota; Metazoa; Arthropoda; Arachnida; Araneae; Linyphiidae. The record is from RNAcentral.
CNUAUNUAGUAAAUCUGCUCCAUGUUUUAUAUAAAUAGCCGCAGUAAUUUCACUGGUGCUAAGGUAGCAUAAUCAUUAGCCUUUUAAUUAAAGGAUAGAAUGAAAGAUUUAACAAUUUAAUUUUUUUAUUAAUAAAAAUUAUUUAAUUUAAAUUAAACAUAAAAAUGUGUUUAUUCAUAAAAAAGACGAUAAGACCCUAUUGAACUUUACUAAAGUUUAGCUGGGGAAGCUGGUCAAAAAUAAUUUUGACUAUAAUAAAACUUAAUCUAACCAAUAAGAUUGAUUAACCAAGUUACCAUAGGGAUAACAGCGUAAUUUUUUUUAAAAGCUCUUAUUAAAAAAAAAAAAUGGCACCCCCAAGGUGGAAUUAUUUUUCCUUUACCCCCCACCGGUCC